AUUCCGUGCCANCANCCGCGGUAAUACGGGAGUGGCAAGCGUUAUCCGGAAUUAUUGGGCGUAAAGCGUCCGCAGGCGGCUUUGUAAGUCUGCUGUCAAAGCGUGGANCUNAACUCCAUUUCGGCAGUGNAAACUACGAGGCUUGAGUGUGGUAGGGGCAGAGGGAAUUCCCGGUGUAGCGGUGAAAUGCGUAGAUNUCGGGAANAACACCNUUGGCGAAGGCGCUCUGCUGGGCCNUANCUGACGCUCAUGGACGAAAGC
RNAcentral lists this ribosomal RNA (261 nucleotides) under uncultured bacterium. RNAcentral describes it as "partial 16S ribosomal RNA". It matches the Rfam family "Bacterial small subunit ribosomal RNA", at positions 500 to 760 of the family's 1533-position model. The record is from RNAcentral.